RNAcentral lists this unclassified non-coding RNA (862 nucleotides) under Hevea brasiliensis (rubber tree). The record is from RNAcentral. Lineage: Eukaryota; Viridiplantae; Streptophyta; Magnoliopsida; Malpighiales; Euphorbiaceae.
GAGCAUUCUAAUCUUAUUCAAAUACUAAUAGUAUACAAAAACUCUAUUUACUGGAAAUUUCAAAACACAAUUGAAACUUUCAAUUAGACAAUUCCACACAAAUCAAAUCAAAAUCAGACACUAGACAACGUAUUGGGUACACGUCGACAUACGUAUUUAUACGUUCUUCUUUAUUAUACAGCUAAAAAAGGGAUUCAAGCUAAGAGCUUUUUUUUUCUUUCUUGUCUUGCCAAACUUUCUUCUCAGCUUCUAUCCUCGCUUUGACGUUUGCGUGAAAACCGCUAUAUGGUUCGUAUUUGAAUAAAGCAUGAAGAAUCUCCAACACAACAAAGAACGGAGCCAUUAGGAAAGCUUGAGUAAGGUUGUCGAUGAGAGCGGGUGCUCGUUUCUCAAACACCCCAUGGCCGAUGAACUGACUUGUCCAGCAAAACAACUGUGAGGCCAACACUACCUUCCAAGUAAGACUCCAUCCAAGUUUAAAAGCGAAAACACUAGCUCCAACCCAGCAGAGAAAACACAUAAAAGCGGCCAAAGAUCCAGCUCUCUUGUCAAAAAGUACAUACAAAAGAGCAUAAAGCAAAGCAAACAAGAACCCAAAAUUCAAAACGAGGCCAGUAUUGAACCCACAUGGGCAUUUGGGAAAAGAAUAGAAGGAAGGAGUGUAAUAGAAGAGCAUGAGCGCAGUGAAGAAGAUUGGCCAGACGAAGAGAAUAUGGAUGAAAAUAUUAGUUGGGUUGCUGUGAUAAGCCCCAUAGAAUGCAAAAUGCCUCUCGAGAUCCAACAAUCCACGCCUUCCCAUUGAAAUUUGGAAGGAAUCGAGUCGAAUGGAACGAGAAAUUCAGAAAGAAACGGUGGAAACUGA